Molecule: ribosomal RNA, 253 nt
Filed under: uncultured bacterium
Lineage: Bacteria
Description: partial 16S ribosomal RNA
Rfam family: Bacterial small subunit ribosomal RNA
Source: RNAcentral
UACAGAGGGUGCAAGCGUUAAUCGGAAUUACUGGGCGUAAAGCGUGCGUAGGUGGUUUGUUAAGUCAGGCGUGAAAUCCCUGGGCUCAACCUGGGAACUGCGUUUGAUACUGGCAGACUCGAGUGUGGUAGAGGGUAGUGGAAUUCCGCAUGUAGCAGUGAAAUGCGUAGAUAUGCGGAGGAACACCAGUGGCGAAGGCGGCUACCUGGACCAACACUGACACUGAGGCGCGAAAGCGUGGGGAGCAAACAGG